AUCUAUCUAUCUAUCUAUAGAUAGAUAGAUAGAUAGAUUGGGGGGGGGGCAAGGGAAUUAGCUAUCUCAUUGGCUCUGCUCGGGGUAUGGCUUCAGCAGGACCCUUAUUUUGGUAGAUGCAUAUUUGGUAGACGUCUGGGUGAUUCGCAGUUCCUUGCUCCCUGCCAUUUCCGUUCAGUCUUAGAACCGCGCGUGCAUUGUGGCGAGUUGGCGGCGGAGAUCGCGCCGGAGAUCGCAACAUUAGCCGGUGGCUGAAUGAUAUGUAUAUGUAAGUCGAGCCGCGGUACCUGUAAGUAAUCAUACAACGUCUGGUGUUUGUGCAAUCCAAUGGAGCCAGUGAGUCUUGGUGGGACAGGGGAAGCUAGCUGCAUUUAUUCGCUACGCUCAGUGUGCCAACACAACUUCCCUCUGGUGUAGGUAGUGUUUGAGUUUUGGUGUGACUUGAGGUGGGUUUGGAUGACCUCCUGAGCUGUAGCUGGCCUGCCUUGUUUCUGCCAAGCCUGGGCCUGUAGAAGUGCUGUUUUAAAAUCCUUAUUGUACUUCAUGGGAGAGUGACUUUAUAUUUAUGUUAAGUGUCAUAAUAAAAUGUCAUUUUUAUAUUUGUA
Long non-coding RNA from Ictalurus punctatus (channel catfish), 605 nucleotides. RefSeq lists it as uncharacterized. The record is from RefSeq and is a predicted model, not a curated record. NCBI's taxonomy places the organism in Eukaryota, Metazoa, Chordata, Actinopteri, Siluriformes, Ictaluridae. The transcript is spliced from 2 exons.